Molecule: ribosomal RNA, 481 nt
Filed under: Bacillus sp. B1-20
Lineage: Bacteria; Bacillati; Bacillota; Bacilli; Caryophanales; Bacillaceae
Description: bacterial SSU rRNA
Rfam family: Bacterial small subunit ribosomal RNA
Source: RNAcentral
UGCUCAGGACGAACGCUGGCGGCGUGCCUAAUACAUGCAAGUCGAGCGAACUAAUGGGAGCUUGCUCCCAAAGGUUAGCGGCGGACGGGUGAGUAACACGUGGGCAACCUGCCCUGUAGAUCGGGAUAACAUCGAGAAAUCGGUGCUAAUACCGGAUAAUUUCUAGAAUCUCAUGGUUCUAGAAUAAAAGAUGGCUCCGGCUAUCACUACGGGAUGGGCCCGCGGCGCAUUAGCUAGUUGGUAAGGUAACGGCUUACCAAGGCGACGAUGCGUAGCCGACCUGAGAGGGUGAUCGGCCACACUGGGACUGAGACACGGCCCAGACUCCUACGGGAGGCAGCAGUAGGGAAUCUUCCGCAAUGGACGAAAGUCUGACGGAGCAACGCCGCGUGAGUGAUGAAGGAUUUCGGUUCGUAAAGCUCUGUUGUUAGGGAAGAACAAGUGCCGUUCAAAUAGGGCGGCACCUUGACGGACCUAACCA